Molecule: ribosomal RNA, 451 nt
Filed under: uncultured bacterium
Lineage: Bacteria
Description: partial 16S ribosomal RNA
Rfam family: Bacterial small subunit ribosomal RNA
Source: RNAcentral
GUGGGGAAUAUUGCGCAAUGGGGGAAACCCUGACGCAGCGACGCCGUGUGAGGGAAGAAGGCUUUCGGGUCGUAAACCUCUGUCAGGAAGGAAGAACCCCUCAGGUCCCAAUAGGGCCUGGGGCUGACGGCACUUCCAGAGGAAGCACCGGCUAACUCCGUGCCAGCAGCCGCGGUAAUACGGAGGGUGCAAGCGUUAAUCGGAAUCACUGGGCGUAAAGCGCGCGUAGGCGGCCUUUUAAGUCGGACGUGAAAGCCCUCGGCUCAACCGGGGAAUUGCGUUCGAAACUGGAUGGCUUGAGUCCUGGAGAGGGUGGCGGAAUUCCGGGUGUAGGAGUGAAAUCCGUAGAUAUCCGGAGGAACACCGGUGGCGAAGGCGGCCACCUGGACAGGUACUGACGCUGAGGCGCGAAAGCGUGGGGAGCAAACAGGAUUAGAUACCCCGGUAGUCC